Molecule: ribosomal RNA, 253 nt
Filed under: uncultured bacterium
Lineage: Bacteria
Description: partial 16S ribosomal RNA
Rfam family: Bacterial small subunit ribosomal RNA
Source: RNAcentral
GACAGAGGGUGCAAACGUUGCUCGGAAUCACUGGGCGUAAAGGGCGCGUAGGCGGGAUGGCAAGUCGGUCGUGAAAUCCUUCGGCUCAACCGAAGAACGUCGGCCGAUACUGCCGUUCUUGAGGGAUGCAGAGGAGAUUGGAAUUCCCGGUGUAGCGGUGAAAUGUGUAGAGAUCGGGAGGAACACCGGUGGCGAAGGCGGGUCUCUGGGCAUCUCCUGACGCUGAGGCGCGAAAGCGUGGGGAGCAAACGGG